UAGGAAGUAGUAUAAUGGAAGUACCUGGAGUUUUGAUCUCUUGGGUGUGGGUUCAAAUCCCUUCUUUCUAG
This 71-nucleotide transfer RNA is filed under the name Chilodus punctatus (spotted headstander). RNAcentral describes it as "tRNA-Gln". It matches the Rfam family "tRNA". From Rfam's summary of the family: Transfer RNA (tRNA) molecules are approximately 80 nucleotides in length. Lineage: Eukaryota; Metazoa; Chordata; Actinopteri; Characiformes; Chilodontidae. The record is from RNAcentral.